Molecule: long non-coding RNA, 275 nt
Filed under: Dasypus novemcinctus (nine-banded armadillo)
Lineage: Eukaryota; Metazoa; Chordata; Mammalia; Cingulata; Dasypodidae
Description: lncRNA (ENSDNOG00000051341.1)
Source: RNAcentral
CAGAGAAAAUGCUCUGAGCUGCUAGGACAGCAGUUUAGCCUCGGGGCUUUGACUAAAUAAAUAAGGGGGACCCCUCCCCCAUCCUGAUCCUUUUAUUUUUCAAAGACAGGUCUUUCCACCGGUGCUGAAGCCUACGGGGAGGACUCUGGCUGCUGCUGCCACCGCCAUGGGCAGCUGGGGGCCUCCCUCUCUCCAGCCCGAUUAAAUCACACUGCGAUUGAAGAUCUACUCUGUGACAUUAAAGAUAAGGAUGUGGAGGUCCAGAGACAUGAGGC